GGGGAAUAUUGCGCAAUGGGGGAAACCCUGACGCAGCAACGCCGCGUGCGGGACGAAGGCCUUCGGGUUGUAAACCGCUUUCAGCAGGGACGAAGGAUUUCUGACGGUACCUGCAGAAGAAGCACCGGCUAACUACGUGCCAGCAGCCGC
This 150-nucleotide ribosomal RNA is filed under the name uncultured bacterium. RNAcentral describes it as "partial 16S ribosomal RNA". It matches the Rfam family "Bacterial small subunit ribosomal RNA", at positions 356 to 518 of the family's 1533-position model. The record is from RNAcentral.